GUAGUCAUAUGCUUGUCUCAAGGAUUAAGCCAUGCAUGUCUAAGUAUAAGCAACUUGUACUGUGAAACUGCGAAUGGCUCAUUAAAUCAGUUAUGAUCUACGUGACAUAUUCUUUACUACUUGGAUAACCGUGGUAAUUCUAGAGCUAAUACAUGCAAAAAAACCCUGACUUACGAAAGGGUACACUUAUUAGAUAAAGCCAACGCUGGGUAAAACCAGUUUCCCUUGGUGAUUCAUAAUAAUUUAGCGGAUCGCAUGGCCUUGUGCUAGCGACAGUCCACUCGAUUUUCUGCCCUAUCAUGGUUGAGAUUGUAAGAUAGAGGCUUACAAUGCCUACAACGGGUAACGGGGAAU
RNAcentral lists this ribosomal RNA (354 nucleotides) under uncultured Mucor. RNAcentral's name for it is "SSU rRNA". It matches the Rfam family "Eukaryotic small subunit ribosomal RNA", at positions 20 to 370 of the family's 1831-position model. Lineage: Eukaryota; Fungi; Mucoromycota; Mucoromycetes; Mucorales; Mucoraceae. The record is from RNAcentral.